RNAcentral lists this transfer RNA (67 nucleotides) under Arctopsyche sp. XG-2022. RNAcentral describes it as "tRNA-Asp". Lineage: Eukaryota; Metazoa; Arthropoda; Insecta; Trichoptera; Hydropsychidae. The record is from RNAcentral.
AAAAAAUUAGUUAAUAUAUAACAUAAACUUGUCAAGUUUAAAUAAUUUAGUUAGUAAAUAUUUUUUA